This 25-nucleotide non-coding RNA is filed under the name Rattus norvegicus (Norway rat). Lineage: Eukaryota; Metazoa; Chordata; Mammalia; Rodentia; Muridae. The record is from RNAcentral.
UCUUAUCUGUAAACAGAGGGCCGAG